AUUCCAAAUGCACCCCUCACUGUUGGCACAAAACGGAGAACAAUUAAAAGAGUGGACCAAUCACAUAUACAAGAGCCACCAGAUAAACAUUCACCAUUGCACGAAGUUGAUGAAAGUGGGCCUAGUACAGAAAGCCAAACUUCAGAUUUUUCUUGCCAAACAAGUGCUAUACUAUCCAAUAAUACACCUAGAAAACAAAAACAACGAAAGUUAAUAAAAGCCCAGGCAAGGAAAAUAAGUCGUUUUACGCAUGCAAACAAAAAUCCAUCAACACAUAAAAAUUUGGAAAAA
Molecule: long non-coding RNA, 291 nt
Organism: Xenia sp. Carnegie-2017
Lineage: Eukaryota; Metazoa; Cnidaria; Anthozoa; Malacalcyonacea; Xeniidae
Exons: 2
Source: RefSeq, a predicted model, not a curated record